RNAcentral lists this ribosomal RNA (274 nucleotides) under uncultured bacterium. RNAcentral's name for it is "partial 16S ribosomal RNA". It matches the Rfam family "Bacterial small subunit ribosomal RNA", at positions 523 to 796 of the family's 1533-position model. The record is from RNAcentral.
AUACGAAGGGGGCUAGCGUUGUUCGGAAUUACUGGGCGUAAAGCGCGCGUAGGCGGAUACUUAAGUCAGGGGUGAAAUCCCGAGGCUCAACCUCGGAACUGCCCUUGAUACUGGGUAUCUUGAGUUCGAGAGAGGUAAGUGGAAUUCCGAGUGUAGAGGUGAAAUUCGUAGAUAUUCGGAGGAACACCAGAGGCGAAGGCGGCUUACUGGCUCGAUACUGACGCUGAGGCGCGAAAGCGUGGGGAGCAAACAGGAUUAGAUACCCCUGUAGUCC